CCAGAAACCCAGAAGCAUCCAAAACACAUAAGCACCCAAAUCACAAGACUCCUUUGUAUUCAUCACACAGAUCAUGCAACCUUCUUCGUGUAGAAGCCUCAACCCUUCAUCUUCUUCAAACGUGCAUCGCGAGUUGCUCCUUCGUCAACCACCACAAGAUCGCCGUCACGCCUUCACCUCGAACCAAAACCUGCAAGGAAAGGCAAACAUAGAACCAACCAAAACCCCUUCGGAUUACGCCGUCAUCGCGCUUCCAAAUCCAAUCACGAACUUGUGAAAUCAAUCUCC
RNAcentral lists this long non-coding RNA (288 nucleotides) under Vigna radiata. RNAcentral describes it as "long non-coding RNA (VRAD_LNC006914)". The record is from RNAcentral. Lineage: Eukaryota; Viridiplantae; Streptophyta; Magnoliopsida; Fabales; Fabaceae.